Molecule: long non-coding RNA, 187 nt
Organism: Labeo rohita (rohu)
Lineage: Eukaryota; Metazoa; Chordata; Actinopteri; Cypriniformes; Cyprinidae
Exons: 3
Source: RefSeq, a predicted model, not a curated record
GGAGGUCUGAGCAGAGUGAGGCAUGCAUUUUGUUCAAUCCUCUUCAAAAACAUCAGGACCAGGCAAGAUUGUGCAACGAAUAAUUAACUGCAUGUUUUCUACUUAAGCAGAGAAGACAGCAUAAAAUACAACUGAACCAGCAAACUACUCCGGUGUUUAUUUCACUACACACAACACAACGCAGAGG